Molecule: ribosomal RNA, 433 nt
Filed under: uncultured bacterium
Lineage: Bacteria
Description: partial 16S ribosomal RNA
Rfam family: Bacterial small subunit ribosomal RNA
Source: RNAcentral
AACGAACGCUGGCGGCAGGCCUAACACAUGCAAGUCGAGCGCGCCCUUCGGGGUGAGCGGCGGACCGGUGAGUAACGCGUGGGAACGUGCCCUUUUCUACGGAAUAGCCUCGGGAAACUGAGAGUAAUACCGUAUACGCCCUUUGGGGGAAAGAUUUAUCGGAAAAGGAUCGGCCCGCGUUGGAUUAGGUAGUUGGUGGGGUAAUGGCCUACCAAGCCGACGAUCCAUAGCUGGUUUGAGAGGAUGAUCAGCCACACUGGGACUGAGACACGGCCCAGACUCCUACGGGAGGCAGCAGUGGGGAAUCUUAGACAAUGGGGGCAACCCUGAUCUAGCCAUGCCGGGUGAGUGAUGAAGGCAUUAGGGUUGUAAAGCUCUUUCAGCUGGGAAGAUAAUGACGGUACCAGCAGAAGAAGCCCCGGCUAACUCCGUG